Non-coding RNA from Salvelinus sp. IW2-2015, 656 nucleotides. The record is from RefSeq and is a predicted model, not a curated record. NCBI's taxonomy places the organism in Eukaryota, Metazoa, Chordata, Actinopteri, Salmoniformes, Salmonidae.
UAGUAGUACAGCCAAGUAGGGUGCCUUGCCCUUAUGUUUACUUGCAUGCGUGUUGUCAUAACACUUGUUAAAAGUAUGCCAAUCCAGUCUUGUGACCUAUGUUCUCUGACUGUGUGUGUGUAGGAUGUUGGAGCAGCUGAGGAAACAGCAGGGCUCAGUCCUCCACCCAGACUACAGUUCUUCCUUCCAGUGUUUUGAAGACACCCUGACCCGCCUGGUGCCUUACCACCUCUACCAGGGCACUGCCACCGCACCACAUGACUACCACAGAGGUACACACACCCUGACCCGCCUGGUGCCUUACCACCUCUACCAGGGCACUGCCACAGCACCACAUGACUACCACAGAGGUACACACACACCCUGACCCGCCUGGUGCCUUACCACCUCUACCAGGGCACCACCACACGACUACCACAGAGUGGAUGAUGAGUUUGAGAGUGUUUCCAGCCAGCUCCUGAAGAGAACUCAAGCCAUGCUGGAUAAAUAAGACACGACACCUGCUUUUUGAGGAAUCAACGCGCCUCGGCCCGUCAGCUGAGAUGGUAAUGAUGGACAGGAUGUUUUUCAGGAGGAGAAGAUCUCUCUGGGACAGGACCGCAUCCUCGCCAGGGACAGACCUGAGGAGUAUGUGGCAACUCGAAGAUGCUGCGAGG